This is a long non-coding RNA of Nicotiana tabacum (common tobacco), 871 nucleotides long. RefSeq lists it as uncharacterized. NCBI's taxonomy places the organism in Eukaryota, Viridiplantae, Streptophyta, Magnoliopsida, Solanales, Solanaceae. The record is from RefSeq and is a predicted model, not a curated record.
AGUAAAAAUUGGUGUAGUGAAAAAGAAAGUUAAGAGAAGAAGAAAAUCUAAGUCUUCAACUUAUUAUCUACAAUUAAAAAGAAUAUUAUUUUGUUGAAGGAAAGUGUUCAUUUUGGUGGAGUUUUGGACUCAACAACUUGUCCAGAGUUUAUUCGAGUCAUAUGAUAUUGUCCGGUUAUUGUAUCCUGAAAGGGACAAGUCAAGAGUAUUACUGCUGGACCGGUGAAAAUGCUAUUGCAGUGGGCUUGAAUCUCCUUAAAGAGAGCAAGAUAUCCGCGCCUCAACUUGAAGAAUAUUUAUUUAAUUUUUUUCAUCUUAUUUUUCAACUGUAGUUAUUUAUAAUUUUACAAACUAUUUUAAGGAGAUUCAAUUUUUAUGCAGUUGAAGAAACAGCGGAUAUCAAGAUAGAAGUUCACUCUAUUUAUGAGAUGGGAAGGUGAAAAAAUUUCGACUUGCUUUACUCAAGCGGUGGAAAGAUUCACUAACCAAGGCCUUGGCAACAGAAAGGGUUUGGAGCAUAUCAAUGGAGAUGGGAUUGAAGCCUAUAAACUUAUAAGUCAUAUAUGACGAAACCCAACCCAGGGACUAGAGAUCCUAUAACCAGAAGCAAAAAGAGCCUCACACAAAGGAAUUUUCAACGUUGGGAUGGUGGCAUGAGAAUGAAAAGCAAUUUCCUGUUCUUUUCGCUAUGGCUCAGGACGUGCUAAAUAUGCCAAUUUCAACUGUUGCAUUAGAGAGUGCAUUUAGCCAAGCAAGACAACAACUUGGAAACACCCGUCACACAUUGGGAAGCAAUGUUUUGGAAGUUUUAGUAUGUUUCAGAGAUUGGAUUAGAUCGGAACGAAGAAAUCAAGGACGUGAAGAUGUUGAU